Molecule: microRNA precursor, 95 nt
Filed under: Canis lupus familiaris (dog)
Lineage: Eukaryota; Metazoa; Chordata; Mammalia; Carnivora; Canidae
Also listed under: 1 other name
Description: mir-8799 microRNA precursor family
Rfam family: mir-8799 microRNA precursor family
Source: Rfam by way of RNAcentral
GGGGGGAGCGCUGGAUCUUGGGCUGUGUCCCAUAGCGCCCUAGGCUCAGGGGCCUGCACUGCUGGAAUCAUACUCCCAGGACUGCACAGCCCCCU